This 73-nucleotide transfer RNA is filed under the name Wollemia nobilis. RNAcentral's name for it is "tRNA-Ile". It matches the Rfam family "tRNA". From Rfam's summary of the family: Transfer RNA (tRNA) molecules are approximately 80 nucleotides in length. The record is from RNAcentral. Lineage: Eukaryota; Viridiplantae; Streptophyta; Pinopsida; Araucariales; Araucariaceae.
GCAUCUAAGGCUGAAUGGUCAAAGCGCCCAACUCAUAAUGGGGAAGUCACGGGUUCAAUUCCUGCUGGAUGCA